AGAGAAGGACACAGGCGCUCUCUACUGUCUGAGGAGAACAGAAAUCCCAGCGACCGGAGAUACUGACAGAAUAAAAAUAAACAAUAUGUCGCUCCGUCUCCGUGUUCGGAAACACACUCUUACGCCGUGAAUAUAGAAGGUACGAGUGGAAAUGAAACUUCUCACCAUCUUUGCCUUUUUCGUAUGCAAGGCUGGCGCUAACGUCCGACCCGUAAAUACCAAAGAAGGAAACCGUACAUCUCUACGUUCUCUAGUGGAAAUUCCAAAUCGCUGGCACGAGUCACGGUAGCGGCGCUGGUGCCCGCUGUCAGUCUCACGCCAAGUGUUACGAGACGCAUCAAUAUGUCAGUAGACCUCUACUUGGAAGCAUGAAUUAUUAUGCGGAUGAUGCCAAUUCCGAAUAAUUACCAUGAAGUAUCGACCGGGAGUCGUUUUAAAAGCUUAUACUUGCUGUACUUUAUUACACACUUGACUAAAGACUAAGGCUCAUCGUUUUUCUAGCCUUCAUCACUGUCUGUUUCUGCUAGUUGAAGAUUUUUGAUUGUUGUCUCUUAUAGUUUGGGAUUAUUGCCAAAGUUUUCUUUCUUUGUCUCCUGAUAGGUCAGGUGUAAAUUGACGUAUCGCUGACUUAAAGCAAUAGCCAGAAAUCAUACAGUAUAAUAGGGUGAUUGCUUUCCAAAGCACUGGGCAAAGUGUGUGUGUAUGUCAGUAUAUGAGUGUGUGUGAGUGUGUGUAAGCGAUGCUCUCAGACUUUCCUCUGGUGCUGUAGCUCAUUGAUUAUUAAUGCUGAAGAGGAAAUGCAGCAUGGUCUGAGAGAGAGUGAGAGGGAAUCUGUCUUGAGGGCAUGGACAUUUCUCUCUCUCUCUCUCUCUCUCUCUAUAUAUAUAUAUAUAUAUAUAAUGUAUGUAUAUGUAUAUGUGUGUGUGUGUAUACCAAAGCUUCCAACCUGAGGAUGUCGUGACAGAAAAAGAAAGAGAGAUAAGCAAGAGGUGGGGAGUUGAAGGAGCCGAAAAGGAAGGUGGAGUGAAGGAAACGAAAAAGGUGGAGAGGUGAAGGUGGAAAAAGGACAAGAAGUGAAAUAGAAGGUGCAAAUGUUCAGAGGAAAAAAAAAGGAGGUGGAGAGGUGAAGGAGCCAAAAAAGAAAGGAAGUGAAAUCGGAGGUGCAAAUGUGAAGAGAGCUGAAGGAGCGAAAAAGGAGGUGGAAAGUGAAGAGGCAAAAAGGAGAUGGAGAGAUGAAGGAGAAGAUUGAAGCGUUAGAAAAGGAAUUUUCCGGAGAGUUCUGGGGCUUGUAUGUCCCAUAGGUGGGUGGCAGGUUGCAUUUCGGGCCGUUAGAUUGGAACAGUGUCAGAUCGAGCCUGACUCCGGCGUCAGCACUUUAACAUUUCAGCUUCUCCACAAACGCUUCCUAAGGGAGGGCUCGAGUCUGGGAGUUCAGCGGUUCAGAAUUAGGGUAAGUGGAGUUGCUGCUCAUGUGGCAGUAACGAUGGAUUCCACACUCGUCCUGUAUGAUUUAAUCUGAUUCCUGGUAUAAUUGUUCUGAAAUGUGCUUCAUUUUCCCCCCCAUUGGCUUAACAUUUGGUUAAAAAAGAGACUCAAUCCAUAGUUUAAUAAUGUACUAGGGCUAGGGUUAGGGUUAAGUUGUCCUUGUGUCUGUUGUGAGCUCGCGAAUCCAGACUCGUGCUCUUGCUUGAACUGACUGUAAUGUUAACAUUUUUAAAUGAAACCGUUGUCUGCCGGUUCUACAAGACACAUAUCGACACCUUGACACGUUUCAACUCAGCAAAGGUUCCUGGCACACUAUACGCUUUUCUCAGCACAAAAUAGACGCUUAAUUGCUCUUAAUCGAAAUGAUCUCAGCGCCUAGCGAGGAUCUUCAUCACAUUCCGCUCCUAGAGCAGACCGUUAAAACCGACCGGCAGUGUGCUUGGAUGAAGAGGAUGAUGAAACGAGUCUGUGGUCUGCAUAUAGGGUUGUUUUUGUUUUUUUGUUUUUAUGACCGCUCGAGCCAGUCGAUUUUUAAACAGUCCCUAUAGGUAAUCGGUGAAGCUAAUAGCCUGAGCGCCAUUUGCCUGAGCCCACUGUCCCAGCGGGAGCCGUUCGGGUACUCGCCGCAACAUAAACGUGACGACGUCAUGGCUGGUGAUGGGAAGACGAUUGCGUUUCAGGAAGCGCUCGGAUGUUUUACCUUCCGACGUAUCGGAUAUCCAUCAACAUCAGAAGCAGCUGAGCUCACACCCACACACACCCUCAGAUCGCACGCAAAGACGGCUCAUUAAUAAUAGAGUCCGUCUGCGCCGUCCCUCUGUCUCACUUACUGUUCUAGUCUAAUGCGGGUCAUCAGGCGUUAGCUGUUUCUUGCGCUACUCAAAACCCUUCACGCAGCAUGGGAUUUAGUAAUUUGUUUGUGUGUGAAGGGGGGGGGGGGGGGGGGUGACCUAGCGAUCAUCAGGAUGAGAUCAGAUGUUUUAUUCAUGUUGAUGAUGUAAGAGAGAAAAGCUGCCGAACGUCUUACUAAGUCUGAGCUCAGCUGUCGCACUAAUGAGAAGAGUAUGAUUACAUGUCCCUGAAAUACACAAAGAAAACAUCACCUAGCAUAUCUCCAGAGAGAGUGUGUGUGUGUGUGUGUGUGUAUGUGUAGGCAGUGUCUUCGCUUCUUGCUGGUCCAUAUUUGAAGGUGACAGAAAGGAAACGUAACGCAGCAGCUGUGAAGUCAGCUCAGGGAGUGAUGAUGUGUGAAACGAGGAAAGUAGAAAAUGGAAAGAUGUGUCAAAAGAUUAAUGCUAGUUUUAGGUAGUGCUGAUCAUUUCUGUAGUUGUGUGUCAUCAGUCCCUUGUGCCAGUAAAAGAUCUAAAGCACCAUCUCACCAGAAAUUAUCCUCUGGCACUUUCUGUUCUUAAUGGGGCAACCUCUCAAGUGAAUUCUGGAGUCCCAAAACCUUGACCUGUUGUGACAACCUGAUACCCGUCUUUCCCGAGAACAUUUAUGAGUACAGGGUCUGUGUGAUGCAGUAAGGUGAGCGUAUCCUAAGCCAAGGAAUGCUGGUUAACUAGGCUACUAACAAGAACCCACAUGUGGCAACAUGAACAUGCUGGCACUUUGUUGUACCAUGACCUCGAAGUAUCUUCUGUAUGGUACUCGGCCACAACGCUACCAUUGUUCCCUAAUACUAUUUAACGUAUUUGUCCAGUCUGUUCCAUCAUCUAGAUCCCAAUUUGGACCUUGAUGUUCAAGCAUAAGGUUUGUCCUCAAAUCUAUGUGUCCUUUCGUAGCCAAGAGAACAAGUGAAACAGCCACUUCGCAUUGCAAGCCUUUGUGCCUGACUUACUAUUGGUAGAACAACAAGGAAUCUGCACCAAACCCCAAACCCAUCUCAAGCUGCUUCCCAGUUUAGAACCCUAGUUGCUGGUGGGUGGGCGCUUACUCCAUUUCCAGCACCCCUUACCUGACAGGCGUCUUUGGUUUGCAGCAGGUUAGGUGUUGUCAGUGUGCAGGGCAUUCAUGGUUGUUCUUUUGGCUACAGAUUUUGGUUUUCAAAUGGGAAUAUUUCAUUGAUUGGCCCACAGUAUCUCCAGAAAAGUGUCUUAAAAUGGCUUCCUAUGUGUUUGCCUGGUCUCCAGCAGGCCAGUUUGAAUAAACUUCCCUCUGAUGCACAUAUUGUUUUGGUGCCUUUGUGGUCAGUCAUAAUGAGGCUCAAAUUCCCAUCUCCCUUAAUAGCCUAGAGGUCGAAGCUGCCAGAAAACCUUGAUUAAAUCCUACACCCACUGGUUUCAUCCUUUCUCAAGGCUCUCGUAACUCUACCAACCCACCAGAUCAAGUCUCAGGCUGCCUCCAUUUGUCCAAACCUGGUCGCUGAUAAGAGCUUAGUCCAUCCCAGCUCCCCAUCCUUGACAAGCAUCUUUGGUAGCACUGGGUUAGAUUAUUCUGGGAGGCAGGGCAUUGAUGGGUGCUCUCUUGCUUGGUUCUAAGAGAUUGACCUGAUUGUGCCUCCAGGUUUAGCUUCCUUUGAUACGGUGUUUGAAUUUGAGAGUAGCAGACAUUAUGUAUCUUCUCCUUCCACUGGUUCAGAUUCAUUGGUGAGGAACGGAUGUCAUAUGUUGCACUUAGCAGGAAGCAGUUUUGGCUUGUAUCUCUCUGCCAUAUGUCCUUCCAGCUGAGCUUCCUUCUCUUCACGCUCUCCCAGUUCCCCACUGUCCCUGUCCGGCAUAUUAGACAAACAUGGUGUACCUCUUCCCCAAUCUGCGCAAUUCUCCCAGAACCAGAUUCCUCUCUGGUGAGGUUACCUUGUUCCAGAAGCAUCCGUUUUUUUUAUCCAUCUCUUUCCACCCUGAAGCCACAGUUGGUGCUGUGUACGUUCUCACUGCAUAACGAUAGUCUUAUAGGGUCACGUAAUACCUUAUAUGUACUGGUAUAUCGGUACACACAAAAUCCACACCUUAAGGAGAAUUAAAACCCGUACACCGGAUCAAACGUCAUACCGCUCGCUACUACACUACCGUAAGAGUGCAUUACUACGAGCAGCUUGUCGCUAGCUACCCACAAACGUGUCCUCACAUAACCGUAAAAUUAGCCCGCUUCUGCCGUCUGUCUGUCUGCGUCUUGUCUCUCGGCUCCCCUCCUCCUCUUCUGUAAUUCUCUGAACAUCCAGAUGUGACACAUUUAUUAGAUUUCAUGAUCAAUAUUAGAGCGGAGCAGGAUGAUCCUCGCUGAAUUAUUCAGACUGCAGGAGUUUUAGGCCUGAUUUAGAGCUUCUAAUCAACCCCACUCAUGGGAUAAGUGCACAUUUAUGUGAUUGAAGUGCGUAAUAAUUUGAUGAUCCUUUGAAAAGCUUUGCAUCGGUUUACUCGGGCGCAGCGCAGACUAAACGAUGCGUAUCGAGGCUUCUUGUCCUCCUUGAUGUUUGACUGCAGUUCAUUUCGAACGAAACUGUACUCGUGGACUCCACUGCAGUAGCAUGACAGGCAAGUCAUUCAUGACGUCUAAAACGUGGAGUGACGGGAUGGAGAAUUUCAGCUUCUUUUAGCUAGCAACCUCAGCUAACAGGACACCUGACAAACUAGUAUCGUAGCAAACGGGUGUAAGCAUGACGUAGCGAAGUCCCGAGAGGCUAAAUUUCCCCGGGCUGACGUCAACAUGGCUGAGAGUUCAAGGAAAUAUCACUGGCCUUGCUUUCUGGAUGGGAAGGACGGCGUUGACGUGAUCUCACUCAGAGAAAGCUAGCUAAUGGUGACUUCUGGUGAGCUCAAUGGACAAAGAACAGGGCAGUGUGGGUCUCCUUCAAGCACCUUAGCUGCCCUUUGACAUUGUACAAGCAGCAGUUUCAAAACUUGAAGUCCCUUACAGUACAACUCCAAGGUCACUGGUUUGAACCCGAGUUUGGGUUACGCUAUCACGUAGUUUCUGUGCAUGUUCUCCCCAACUUUGGUUUCCUCACACCUUCCGGAGACAUGGCAGUAGGUGUAUUAGCGAAGAUAACUCACCCUGGGUGUCAUUGAGUACGUGAACGUGUGUGCGCAUGGUCUCCUGUGAUAAGCUGGCGUCCCAGCCAUGUUGCGUUCCCAACUCACGCUCGGGAUCUAACGUGACCUUGACCAGGAUCAAAUGGUUACUGAAGAUAAAUCAUUCCAAGCUUGAGUUAAGGUUUCUGGCUAAGUGCUAGCUAAGCAGCUUGCCGCCGAGAUUAAGCAAGCUAGUUAGACAAGCGGACGGCCGUCUAAAAACUAGGCGAGGUGGUGAUGUGAUCAGAACUUCAACAGGAGGCCAACAUGCCAUUACCCACAGUGUGUCGUUAGCAUAAACAAGCUAACUUAUGAGCUAGCAUUAUCAUUAAAGGGCUAAGAUAGGAAGUAAACACUAACCGUGCUAGCUCUAGCAAUGGUAUCGGUUAGGAUCUUUUUUUAACUUGUUUAACUGUAAGUCUACAAGCUGUGAAAUGAUAUCGUUUCUUGAUACGGUGUUGAAAUAAACCCGGUCGUUUUGUUGGCAACAAGCUAGCCGGCUAAUGUUAGCGAUUUAGGUAAUAACUUUAACACUGAUGUAUGUACCUUCUCAAAACAGAACGAGAAGGUACGUCGUGUGUACGUUGACUAUCUGUAGCAAAUACUAAUAUAAAUGUAAAAAGGUGUGAGCAGCCACGUUGGUACGACCGUGCGCUGAAGACUUCUUCCCAACUUUCCGGAGUGCCUCGCUAGCAAGGUGAGCGCAUGAUGAAACGUUGACGCUCGGGUUGUUGCGUGUUGGUGCAUACGAACGAGGUCGAGGUCUUAUUUUAAGACUGCGUCACAAGAGAUUCAUAAAGACUGAUUAUGCAGGGAUGCAGUUUACUCCCUCUCUCCAUCUGUAACCAGCUCGGUGUGAUCUCUCUCCAGCUGCUCCUGUGCCCUGCCGCUAUUAAACCCUUCUUUUCUUUUCUUUUCUUUUUUUCUUUCAUCUCUUUUUCUGUCCGCUGCCUCCUCUAACAGGCUGUAAUGCUAUCAUUAGCUGUCCAUGGCUCUUGUUCUGAAAGGCAAGGAUGAUGAUGGGAAAGAAUAGUGCUAUCAGGAGAAG
Molecule: long non-coding RNA, 6543 nt
Organism: Ictalurus punctatus (channel catfish)
Lineage: Eukaryota; Metazoa; Chordata; Actinopteri; Siluriformes; Ictaluridae
Source: Ensembl